This 478-nucleotide long non-coding RNA is filed under the name Elaeis guineensis (African oil palm). RNAcentral describes it as "long non-coding RNA (EGUI_LNC019018)". Lineage: Eukaryota; Viridiplantae; Streptophyta; Magnoliopsida; Arecales; Arecaceae. The record is from RNAcentral.
CGGAAAUAUUGAAACCCCCGUCAGAAAGAAAGGUACAUGGAGACUUGUCCAGAGAGAAGCUGGGGUGUUGUUAUAGUUGUUUCAGUUGCAAGUUGUCGAAGUGUGCUGAAGAGAGAUCCUUUAUACCUAAAUAGCUUACCUAGGUGGGUGAUGAGAGAGUAUUAUCUUAACGGCUAGUCUCUUGACCUUUGUGUUGAGCAUCCACGUUGUAUUUUUUGUGUGAAGGGAGGACUUAUCUUCCUAUCGACCAUCCACUACAUAAAUCUCAAGGCACUGAUUCAAUCACCCAUCAUACAAAUCUUAAAGCACUUUCAACUCCAUCUAUCAUCUAUCGCAUAGUUCUCAAAGUGAAUAGUGGAUGAUCCAGUAGAUAAGAAGGAAGAUGAAUUUUUCUUUUGUACGAAAGAUACGCUCUCAACCUCAUCUCUAAGUCUUAACACAUUUGCCGCCACCUAUCUUUAGGUGCAGUAAUUAAGUU